GAUGAACGCUGGCGGCGUGCCUAAUACAUGCAAGUCGAGCGAACAGACGAGGAGCUUGCUCCUCUGACGUUAGCGGCGGACGGGUGAGUAACACGUGGAUAACCUACCUAUAAGACUGGGAUAACUUCGGGAAACCGGAGCUAAUACCGGAUAAUAUAUUGAACCGCAUGGUUCAAUAGUGAAAGACGGGUUUGCUGUCACUUAUAGAUGGAUCCGCGCCGCAUUAGCUAGUUGGUAAGGUAACGGCUUACCAAGGCGACGAUGCGUAGCCGACCUGAGAGGGUGAUCGGCCACACUGGAACUGAGACACGGUCCAGACUCCUACGGGAGGCAGCAGUAGGGAAUCUUCCGCAAUGGGCGAAAGCCUGACGGAGCAACGCCGCGUGAGUGAUGAAGGUCUUCGGAUCGUAAAACUCUGUUAUUAGGGAAGAACAAAUGUGUAAGAAACUAUGCACGUCUUGACGGUACCUAAUCAGAAAGCCACGGCUAACUACGUG
This 497-nucleotide ribosomal RNA is filed under the name uncultured bacterium. RNAcentral's name for it is "partial 16S ribosomal RNA". It matches the Rfam family "Bacterial small subunit ribosomal RNA", at positions 28 to 507 of the family's 1533-position model. The record is from RNAcentral.